RNAcentral lists this non-coding RNA (198 nucleotides) under uncultured Alistipes sp. Lineage: Bacteria; Pseudomonadati; Bacteroidota; Bacteroidia; Bacteroidales; Rikenellaceae. The record is from RNAcentral.
GCAAUGGUUUUCGGGAAAAUCCCCGAAACAAAAGGGAAUGCCGUGCGAAUCGGCAACAGUUACCGCUGCUGUAUGUUUCACCCUCCGGAAUCCGCAAACGCGAACCGAAGGAAAAUCGUUUUAAAUUUUUGCCACUGACCACAUCGUUCGGGAAGGCUUUAAAACGGAAACAAGUCAGAAGACCUGCCUUGCAACAUG